RNAcentral lists this ribosomal RNA (372 nucleotides) under uncultured organism. RNAcentral's name for it is "bacterial SSU rRNA". It matches the Rfam family "Bacterial small subunit ribosomal RNA", at positions 526 to 896 of the family's 1533-position model. The record is from RNAcentral.
CGAAGGUGGCAAGCGUUACUCGGAAUUACUAGGCGUAAAGGGCAGGUAGGUGGUCCGGUAAGUCUGUUGUGUAAGCUCCCGGCUUAACUGGGAGAGGUCAACGGAAACUACCGGGCUUGAGUAUAGGAGAGGUUACUGGAAUUCCCGGUGUAGCGGUGAAAUGCGCAGAGAUCGGGAGGAACACCAAUGGCGAAAGCAGGUAACUGGACUAUUACUGACACUCAGCUGCGAAAGCUAGGGGAGCAAACAGGAUUAGAUACCCUGGUAGUCCUAGCUGUAAACGAUGCACAUUAGGCGUGAGGGGUAUCGACCCCCUUCGUGCCGACGCAAACGCAUUAAAUGUGCCGCCUGGGGAGUACGGCCGCAAGGUUG